UACGAAGGGGGCUAGCGUUGUUCGGAAUUACUGGGCGUAAAGCGCACGUAGGCGGAUUUUUAAGUCAGGGGUGAAAUCCCGAGGCUCAACCUCGGAACUGCCUUUGAUACUGGAGAUCUUGAGUUCGGAAGAGGUUGGUGGAACAGCUAGUGUAGAGGUGAAAUUCGUAGAUAUUAGCUAGAACACCAGUGGCGAAGGCGGCCAACUGGUCCGAUACUGACGCUGAGGUGCGAAAAGCGUGGGGGAGCAAACAGG
Molecule: ribosomal RNA, 255 nt
Filed under: uncultured bacterium
Lineage: Bacteria
Description: partial 16S ribosomal RNA
Rfam family: Bacterial small subunit ribosomal RNA
Source: RNAcentral